GCUUGACCACGUGGAGAUUUGGCCGGCCGGCUUGCGGACCACGUUAAACACUUCGCUAAAAGGCCGGGAGCGCGGGAUC
This 79-nucleotide non-coding RNA is filed under the name bacterium YEK0313. RNAcentral describes it as "Alpha-proteobacteria SAM riboswitch aptamer". It matches the Rfam family "Alpha-proteobacteria SAM riboswitch aptamer". Rfam says of the family: This family is a riboswitch found predominantly in alpha-proteobacteria that binds S-adenosyl methionine (SAM). The record is from Rfam by way of RNAcentral.